Molecule: ribosomal RNA, 578 nt
Filed under: Colletotrichum gloeosporioides
Lineage: Eukaryota; Fungi; Ascomycota; Sordariomycetes; Glomerellales; Glomerellaceae
Description: eukaryotic LSU rRNA
Rfam family: 5.8S ribosomal RNA (bases 214-367)
Source: RNAcentral
GUAACAAGGUCUCCGUUGGUGAACCAGCGGAGGGAUCAUUACUGAGUUUACGCUCUACAACCCUUUGUGAACAUACCUACAACUGUUGCUUCGGCGGGUAGGGUCUCCGCGACCCUCCCGGCCUCCCGCCUCCGGGCGGGUCGGCGCCCGCCGGAGGAUAACCAAACUCUGAUUUAACGACGUUUCUUCUGAGUGGUACAAGCAAAUAAUCAAAACUUUUAACAACGGAUCUCUUGGUUCUGGCAUCGAUGAAGAACGCAGCGAAAUGCGAUAAGUAAUGUGAAUUGCAGAAUUCAGUGAAUCAUCGAAUCUUUGAACGCACAUUGCGCCCGCCAGCAUUCUGGCGGGCAUGCCUGUUCGAGCGUCAUUUCAACCCUCAAGCUCUGCUUGGUGUUGGGGCCCUACAGCCGAUGUAGGCCCUCAAAGGUAGUGGCGGACCCUCCCGGAGCCUCCUUUGCGUAGUAACUUUACGUCUCGCACUGGGAUCCGGAGGGACUCUUGCCGUAAAACCCCCCAAUUUUCCAAAGGUUGACCUCGGAUCAGGUAGGAAUACCCGCUGAACUUAAGCAUAUCAAUAA